RNAcentral lists this ribosomal RNA (337 nucleotides) under uncultured euryarchaeote. RNAcentral describes it as "bacterial SSU rRNA". It matches the Rfam family "Archaeal small subunit ribosomal RNA", at positions 340 to 675 of the family's 1478-position model. The record is from RNAcentral. Lineage: Archaea; Methanobacteriati; Methanobacteriota.
CGCGAAAACUCUACAAUGCACGCAAGUGUGAUAGGGCAACCCCUCGUGCUCAACUAACGUUGGGCUUUUAUUAUUGUGUAAUGUGCAUUAAUAGAAUAAGUGGUGGGGCAAGACCGGUGCCAGCAGCCGCGGUAAUACCGGCGCCACGAGUGGAGUUCACUAUUAUUGGGUCUAAAGUGUCCGUAGCUGGUUUAUUAAGUCUCUUGUGAAAUUUCUGUUGCUUAACUCAGAAACUGCAAGAGAUACUGGUAAACUCGAGACCGGAAGAGGUAACAAGUAUUGUUUGGUAGCGGUAAAAAUGCUAUAAUCCUUACAAGACUAACUAAGGCGAAGGCAU